GACGAACGCUGGCGGCGUGCUUAACACAUGCAAGUCGGACGGUGAAAGCGGAGCUUGCUCCGCUGGAUCAGUGGCGAACGGGUGAGUAACACGUGGGCAACCUGCCCCUCACUUCGGGAUAACUCCGGGAAACCGGGGCUAAUACCGGAUAUGACCUCCUUGGGCAUCCUUGGAGGUGGAAAGUUUUUCGGUGAGGGAUGGGCCCGCGGCCUAUCAGCUUGUUGGUGAGGUAGUGGCUCACCAAGGCGACGACGGGUAGCCGGCCUGAGAGGGCGACCGGCCACACUGGGACUGAGACACGGCCCAGACUCCUACGGGAGGCAGCAGUGGGGAAUAUUGCGCAAUGGGCGAAAGCCUGACGCAGCAACGCCGCGUGCGGGAUGACGGCCUUCGGGUUGUAAACCGCUUUCGGCAGGGAAGAAGCCGCAAGGUGACGGUACCUGCAGAAGAAGCAUCGGCUAACUACGUGCCAGCCGCCGCGGUAA
This 485-nucleotide ribosomal RNA is filed under the name uncultured bacterium. Its description in RNAcentral is "partial 16S ribosomal RNA". It matches the Rfam family "Bacterial small subunit ribosomal RNA", at positions 28 to 523 of the family's 1533-position model. The record is from RNAcentral.